Molecule: ribosomal RNA, 466 nt
Filed under: uncultured bacterium
Lineage: Bacteria
Description: partial 16S ribosomal RNA
Rfam family: Bacterial small subunit ribosomal RNA
Source: RNAcentral
GACGAACGCUGGCGGCGUGCUUAACACAUGCAAGUCGAACGGAAAGGCCCUGCUUGCAGGGUACUCGAGUGGCGAACGGGUGAGUAACACGCGGGUGAUCUGCCUUGCACUUCGGGAUAGGUGUGGGAAACGGGGUCUAUUACCGGAUAGGACCGCACUUUAGUGUGUGUGGGGGAAAGUUUUUUUGGUGUAGGGUGAGCGUUCGGCCUAUCAGCGUGUUGGUGGGGUAUUGGCUUAGCAAGGCGGCGACGGGUAGCCGGUCUGUGGUGGGGGACGGCCACCUUCGGACUGGGAUACGACCCACACUCCUGCCUGCGGCAGCAGGGGGCAGUAUUGCACAAUGGGCGCUAGGCUGAGGCCGCGACGCCGCGUGGCGCAUGAAGGCCUUCGGCUUGUAGGCUCCUUUCGCUAGUGACGAGGCUUUGUUGUGACGGUACCUAGAUAAUAAGCACCGGCUAACUACGUG